Long non-coding RNA from Halichondria panicea, 667 nucleotides. RefSeq lists it as uncharacterized. The record is from RefSeq and is a predicted model, not a curated record. Lineage: Eukaryota; Metazoa; Porifera; Demospongiae; Suberitida; Halichondriidae. The transcript has 2 exons.
AAUUAUGACAUAACAAUAUUAAUAUUAAUAUCUAAUGUUAUUGAGUUUCAAGACUGCAUGUAUCUGACAUGAUGAACCUCUGUUUGGCACUACUACUCAUAUUAACCUCUACCAGGCUGAGCUCAGCUCGUCUCAACAGCUUCGAUGAUAAGGACAUUCACCAGAAAGAGAACGAAAGUGAACAGCAGAGUAGUUUCAGAGUUAGACAUUGUCCUAUAGACGAUAUCAACAGUGGCUGGGGGCUACUUACUCCACACAACAUACAUGUACAUGAACCAGCUACACCAGGCUUAAGUGGACACGGACCAGCUACACCAGGCUUAAGUGCACACGAACCAGCUACAUCAGGCUUAAGUGCACACACACCAGCUACACCAGACCUACGUAUACGUGAGCCUGCUGGAGUGACACUGAACAGUGGUUCACUGAUAGUAACACAAAACGAGGAAAAGGAUAACGAGAAACAGGAGAAAAAAAAAUGCCGCCGAGGCAGAUUUGGACUUAUUGGUUUUGCAAGCAAAAAGUGCCAGAAGUACUAGACAGAGCAACUAACUGUGCAAGACAUUUCCUUUCUUCUGUUUGGCUCUACUGUACUACAUGUGUAUAGCUAGCACCACUCUUUUACAUGUUCAUGUACUACUGCAUCUAAAUAUACAUUGUAUAAGCA